Long non-coding RNA from Acanthochromis polyacanthus (spiny chromis), 548 nucleotides. RefSeq lists it as uncharacterized. The transcript has 3 exons. NCBI's taxonomy places the organism in Eukaryota, Metazoa, Chordata, Actinopteri, Pomacentridae. The record is from RefSeq and is a predicted model, not a curated record.
UGGUUUUGGUCUUCGGCGGCUGGAACAGAAAUCACGACAUUAUUAGGGCCGCUUUCUGUGAGCUAACCCGGCUAACAGCCUCCACACGAAGCCGCUACCUGGCUGCUGCUAAGCUAACAUCCUAACUUCAGCCCAUAGAGGUACAGUAACAUCCCUGCUGCUAAGCUAACAUGCUAACUUCAGCCCAUAGAGGUACAGUAACAUCCCUGCUGCUAAGCUAACAUCCUAACUUCAGCCCAUAGAGGUACAGUAACAUCCCUGCUGCUACGCUAACAUGCUAACUUCAGCCCAUAGAGGUACAGUAACAUCCCUGCUGCUAAGCUAACAUCCUAACUUCAGCCCAUAGAGGUACAGUAACAUCCCUGCUGCUAAGCUAACAUCCUAACUUCAGCCCAUAGAGGUACAGUAACAUCCCUGCUGCUAAGCUAACAUCCUAACUUCAGCCCAUAGAGGUACAGUAACAUCCCUGCUGCUACGCUAACAUGCUAACUUCGCUCCACAGCGGCACAGUAACCAGCGGUUACCGGUUAAACUAACGUACUCUCACC